This is a small nucleolar RNA of Suncus etruscus (white-toothed pygmy shrew), 132 nucleotides long. RefSeq annotates it as small nucleolar RNA SNORA51. The record is from RefSeq and is a predicted model, not a curated record. NCBI's taxonomy places the organism in Eukaryota, Metazoa, Chordata, Mammalia, Eulipotyphla, Soricidae. The transcript has a single exon.
GGCCUCCCAAUGCUUACCACAGCCUUGUUCUUUACACUGACUGUAUAGAAAGAGGAGUUAUAGUAAAUGCUUUCCAUAUACACCUCAAACUAGAUCCUUUACCUGGUCUGUAUUGUGAAUGUGGGGACAAAA